GACGAACGCUGGCGGCGUGCUUAACACAUGCAAGUCGAACGGAAAGGCCCUGCUUGCAGGGUACUCGAGUGGCGAACGGGUGAGUAACACGUGGGUGAUCUGCCCUGCACUUCGGGAUAAGCCUGGGAAACUGGGUCUAAUACCGGAUAGGAGCCAUUUUUAGUGUGAUGGUUGGAAAGUUUUUUCGGUGUAGGAUGAGCUCGCGGCCUAUCAGCUUGUUGGUGGGGUAAUGGCCUACCAAGGCGGCGACGGGUAGCCGGCCUGAGAGGGUGGACGGCCACAUUGGGACUGAGAGACGGCCCAGACGCCGACGGGAGGCAGCAGUGGGGAAUAUUGCACAAUGGGCGCAAGCCUGAUGCAGCGACGCCGCGGGGGGGAGGACGGCCUUCGGGUUGUAAACUCCUUUCGCUAGGGACGAAGCUUUUUGUGACGGUACCUAGAUAAGAAGCACCGGCUAACUACGUG
This 465-nucleotide ribosomal RNA is filed under the name uncultured bacterium. RNAcentral describes it as "partial 16S ribosomal RNA". It matches the Rfam family "Bacterial small subunit ribosomal RNA", at positions 28 to 507 of the family's 1533-position model. The record is from RNAcentral.